RNAcentral lists this unclassified non-coding RNA (342 nucleotides) under Drosophila mojavensis. RNAcentral describes it as "GI25663". The record is from RNAcentral. Lineage: Eukaryota; Metazoa; Arthropoda; Insecta; Diptera; Drosophilidae.
CAAAUCUAUCGCUGGAUAUACAAAGUUAACUUAUCAGCCAGAAGACUGGCAUAAAUUCAAAUAAUAAAAAUGAAGCGGUAUGCGAACUAGCCCAUUCAUUCAAUGUCGAUGUUUAUACUUCCUGCCUGAAUAGUGCGCGCCGUUGGUCCUACAAUGCCGCAACCAAUACCUGCAUUAAGUUCACCUAUUUGGGCUGUGGGGGAAACGGCAACAAUUUCCUGACCAAAUCGCAAUGCUUACGACAGUGUGUGCGAAAAUAGUGGAAAAUUUUUAUAUUUAUACUCCCAUUUUAUUAAUCGAUGUAAAACAAUCUUAUCAUAUAUAAAGCAUAUUUAGAAUAUA